CCCUUAGAUGUUCUGGGCCGCACGCGCGCUACACUGAUGCACUCAACGAGUCUCUUCACCGAAAGGUGCGGAAAACCUUUAAACUUGCAUCGUGAUGGGGCUAGAUUAUUGCAACUAUUAAUCUUCAACGAGGAAUACCUAGUAAGCGCAUGUCAUCAGCGUGCGUUGAUUACGUCCCUGCCCUUUGUACACACCGCCCGUCGCUCCUACCGAUUGAAUGAUCCGGUGAGCUUUUUGGACAGUGGCCUCUGCAUGGUUCGCCAUAACGAGGCUGCGGGAAGAUGCGCAAACCUUAUCACUUAGAGGAAGGAGAAGUCGUAACA
This 323-nucleotide ribosomal RNA is filed under the name uncultured eukaryote. RNAcentral's name for it is "partial 18S ribosomal RNA". It matches the Rfam family "Eukaryotic small subunit ribosomal RNA", at positions 1470 to 1796 of the family's 1831-position model. The record is from RNAcentral.